UAGUGGCGCACGGGUGCGUAACACGUAUGCAACCUACCUAUUAUUGGGGGAUAGCCUUUGGAAACGGAGAUUAAUACCGCAUAAUACGAUUGACUGGCAUCGGUUGAUUGUUAAAGCUUUGGCGAUAAUAGAUGGGCAUGCGUCCAAUUAGUUAGUUGGUUAGGUAACGGCUGACCAAGACGAUGAUUGGUAGGGGAUCUGAGAGGAUAAUCCCCCACACUGGCACUGAGAUACGGGCCAGACUCCUACGGGAGGCAGCAGUAGGGAAUAUUGGGCAAUGGGCGGAAGCCUGACCCAGCCAUGCCGCGUGCAGGAAGAAGGCGUUAUGCGUUGUAAACUGCUUUUUUAUAGGAAGAAGGAUCCCUUGCGAGGGAAGGUGACGGUACUAUAAGAAUAAGCACCGGCUAACUCCGUGCCAGCAGCCGCGGUAAUACGGAGGGUGCAAGCGUUGUCCGGAUUUAUUGGGUUUAAAGGGUGCGUAGGCGGUUUAUUAAGUCAGUGGUGAAAGACGGUCGCUCAACGAUUGCAGUGCCAUUGAUACUGGUAGACUUGAGUGAGAUUGAGGUAGCUGGAAUGGAUAGUGUAGCGGUGAAAUGCAUAGAUAUUAUCCAGAACACCGAUUGCGAAGGCAGGUUACUAAGUCUUAACUGACGCUGAGGCACG
Molecule: ribosomal RNA, 663 nt
Filed under: uncultured bacterium
Lineage: Bacteria
Description: bacterial SSU rRNA
Rfam family: Bacterial small subunit ribosomal RNA
Source: RNAcentral